CACGGGGGGCCUACGGGAGGCAGCAGUGGGGAAUUUUGGACAAUGGGCGCAAGCCUGAUCCAGCCAUUCCGCGUGAGUGAAGAAGGCCUUCGGGUUGUAAAGCUCUUUCGCGAGGGAAGAAAACUUAACUACUAACAUUAGUUGAGGCUGACGGUACCUUGAUAAGAAGCACCGGCUAACUACGUGCCAGCAGCCGCGGUAAUA
RNAcentral lists this ribosomal RNA (204 nucleotides) under uncultured bacterium. RNAcentral describes it as "partial 16S ribosomal RNA". It matches the Rfam family "Bacterial small subunit ribosomal RNA", at positions 329 to 525 of the family's 1533-position model. The record is from RNAcentral.